This is an RNA transcript of Diachasmimorpha longicaudata, 5284 nucleotides long. RefSeq lists it as uncharacterized. The transcript is spliced from 5 exons. The record is from RefSeq and is a predicted model, not a curated record. NCBI's taxonomy places the organism in Eukaryota, Metazoa, Arthropoda, Insecta, Hymenoptera, Braconidae.
AUUUUAGUAAACACGAAUCGCACACAUUUCACAGCCUCAAAAAGUCAAGAGUUGUAUUUGGAUCGGUGUUGUUAUUACAGUGAAAUAAGACGUGAUAGUCAAGAAGAAAGCUGUGAAAGGGUUCAACAACAAUAACUAGCUGCAUUAGAAAUUUUGUAUAUUUGUGGCUAACGAGAGGCAUUGUCGUGCCACAAAAAGAGAGGUUCUCCAAACGACGUGUCUCCAACAUUUAAUUAUUUUAUCCACCGGGGUCUCGAGGUAGUGCAGGCUAAAAAAUAUGCUGGAGAUAACGUGCAACGAUCGUCUGGGAAAGAAGGUUAGGGUAAAAUGCAAUCCGGAUGAUACUAUUGGGGACCUUAAAAAAUUGAUUGCUGCACAGACUGGUACUCAUUGGGAGAAAAUUGUGCUGAAGAAGUGGUACACAAUUUACAAGGAUCACAUCAAGCUACAGGACUAUGAAAUACACGAUGGAAUGAAUCUGGAGUUAUACUACCAAUAAAGUCGUAAGAAAAAUAUUCAAAUAGGUAUCCCCAUAAUUUUUUUUAUUUAAUUCUACUUGUAAUCAUCAAUUCAUGGUGAAUUUUAAUCACAUUUCAAUUCUGUACACAUGAAAAUUUUGUAAGACAUAAUAAAACAUAACAAAUAUAUUUUUGAAAUUUUCAUCAAUCUGUACAACUGUUCAUUUUCAGCGUUUCAUAAAAAUUAAAUUUCAAACCGUUAACAAACAAUAAAUUAAUGUGUUUAGCCGCCUUAAAAUAUUUGUAACAUUAAUAAAUUAGUAUUUGGUUGGUCAAUUACCAGGUCAAUCCAAUCACAAAAUAAAAGCAAAUUUUAAAUAAAAACGAAUUUCGAGGCAAAAUGGGAAAGAGGAAUUCAAAUGGGCUGUACUUUGUGGAUUUGCAUAAUUUGUUAACAACUCUGGGAAAGUGUGCUUUGAAACAACUAGCUCGCACAAGAUUUUUCAAUAUUACUAUGGAUAGUUAAGAUCGUUAAGCUUUAUUGAUUUAUAUUUAACGAAAUUUUGUUGAGCUUGCUCAGGAAUCAGGUUGCGAGAGACUAUACCAGAACGUAUUUAUUAUUUUGGUUCGUGAAACUAUUUACAUAAGUCUCUCAAUUAAAUUUUCUGAAUCGAUUAGUUCGUAAACUAUUGGCUCUUCGGAUGUUCCUCUUAAUCGUUUUGCUAUUGAAGUUGAGAUAUAAAUAUAGAACUUGAAAAUAGCGUCUUAAAGCAUUUCAUCUAUAAUAUCAAUCAUGAGUACAAUAAUUCACGCAUUAAAAAAAGUUAAUAGAAGAAUACCGAGGGUUUUCUCUGAAAAUUUCUAUUCAAUUCAAAGGAAAAAUUCCAUUCGCAUUUGUACCAGUUCCAUUACAAAAUUCCAUUAAAUUUUUAAUGCGCGUCCUUUUGUCGUCGAGUAAAAUUCUUGAACUAAAGAAAUUAGCGGUCGUCUCACUAUUAAUGUGGCCUCUUGAAAUGGCUCUCUCCUCGACUAACAGGACUCUCAGGCUCUACAGUGACUCGACCCCGAUUUCCCAAGAAGUCCCUUAUGUGCUGAACUAUCAAAUCUAUCGCCACUGAAACAUAAUCGAUAAGCAUCAAUGACAACAUACUACAGAUCUAUUAGUGUCGCAAAAAAUAUGAAUUUGUUUCGAGUGAAUCGACCUUCGAAGAUAUCAGGAUUUGAAAUGAUUUAACUACGUGGAUCUCUAUAGAUCUGAAUUUAAUGUUAAAAUUGAAUAGUUAGAGAACAAUUCAGAAGACUUAAAAAACUUAAUAUUUACUUUCGGAGGAAUAUUGCUGAUGUAAUUAAAAAAUAAUUGGAAAAGCGUAAUUGUCCGUUCAGAAUGAACCGGAGAAAAAUUUCUAGGGUCGUGUUCAAAAGAGAAUUUCAUUCAUAAAGAAAUUAUUGCAACGGCUUAUUCAAUUCUGCUUUCAUCUUUAUUAUCGGUUAUGCUCUUCCCUCCCUGAAUACAAAGGCAGUUCCAUAGUUAUUUACGUUACAUUAAUGAACAUCAACUUAAUCGACUGUCUAAUUGAUACUUAUGAACAAACGAUGGAAUCAUUUAUAUGAAAAACCAAUGUGACAUCCUCCACAUAUUCUCGGCAGCACAUAAAACAAUUUGAAAAUAGGAAAAUGUGAGGAAGAACCGACAAAAAUGGACCUUUUUCAACCCUCAAAGUGUGCAACAACAACUUAAUUUACUUUCCAUAUUUAUAUCAUGCUGAGAUUCUGAAGAUUUCAAAAGAUCCUUUUCAUUCUGCUCCCCACAGUGGAAUAAAAUUGGGCUUUUCGAAAACAAGUUACUAAAAAUUUGCACAAUUCAUUAAAAAAAUUUUCAGUGUCAAUAAAAAUAUAUCAAAUAUAUCAAAAGAUUCGCGGAAUAUUACCACUCUAAUAUAUUCAAUCAAUCAAAAGACAAAAGUGUGAAAAAUCGAGAUUGUUUCAAUGCACUGAUGCACUUAUGUCGAUUAUUAUCAAUGACUUGUGAUAUACAUGCCGUCAACUCUUAAUCAUUAUAAAUGUUUUUUAAAAUCUAGAUUAAUCAUCUGCUGACGGUGUCUGAAGGUGUUGAUGUGCGCCGUAACUGGAUGCAUGGAUGCUGCCCAGCGCCGUUAUCAGCCUUUUUCAAAUGUAAAAUGUCCCAGAUGUGGUGCACUAUUAGGUCUAUCGCCACUGUAAACAUACAAUACCAAUUUUCGUAUGUUUUCUCCCUUCGUUUUUUAUUUUUUACCCUUUUCAACGUAUUCAGGGUACACUAUCCGAUAACCACAGGGCAGCACCCAUACUGACAAUAGAUGUAACCACUUUUAUAUGAUGAGAUUGAAUUUUGAGAAAAAUAAGCCUUACCACUAUUGUGUUUCAAUUAUGAAAUAAAAAUUCUAGUGGAGAACGGAAUCGAUAAUUUUACUGCUUUGAAAAGUGAAUUUUGGUUAAUGUGUGUCUGUGCUUGCAUUAGGGAUGAGAAAAUCAUUAGAAAACUCAAAAUAUUCGUCAGAAUAUUUCGAACAAUCAGAAUAAUCCCGAGAGGUGUAAUCAUAAAGAUUAAUAAUCUAUUGAAGAAAAUAUAAUUGAAUUUGGUAGGGAAUUCCCAUAAGAAUUCAAUAAAAUUUUGUAGCAAAUGCAUCACGUUUAUCAAUGAUUUUUUUUCGCAAAUGAAUAUAUUUCGUGAUUGAGCAUUGAAUGAUUUGUAAGAAUGUUUAAAUACUCAUAUGAAUUUACCUGUGUUGUCUGCACCCCUUGGGAUGAUUACGUCGGCGAAUUUUUUAGUUGGCAAGCAAAAUUCCUCAAAUGCUGGUUUGACGAAAUUCAUGUACUGAUUCAACACGUAAUCCAGAUCUCUCCCUCGUUCUUUGAUAUCUCUUGGCACUAACAAUUUAUAAAUAGAAAUUAUUGACCAAACACGAAAUUUUUGAUUUUAUAAAUUUACGAUCAAUUUCCUUUUCACAUUUCCAACAACUGUAAAAAUUACAAAAUUAAUUGGAAUUCGGAAAUUUGAUAAUAAUCCUUUCUGCUGCACAUAGACUAUCUUAUUUCAUCUCUGUAAUGAAUAAAAAACGAAUAAAUUACCUCUUCUAGCAAGUCGUGUAUCAGAGUCCGUGUCAACGAAUAAUUUCAUGUGAAACAAAUCCCUAAUCUUAGGGAAAUAGAAGACUAGAAUUCCCUCGAAGAGUACAACGUCAGCAGGAUAAAUCGUCGUAAUUUGGUCUUUAAUUCUGAAACAAAGCACAAACAAAUACAAAAAAAUUGUUGUAACAUUUUAUUUAAUGUUUACUGUUUGAAGGCACGUUUAGAUCGGGAAGAAGGAAAUUCAAUUGCAAAAUGUUUUAAGAUAAAACCGAAAAAUCGUCCGGAACAAAAUAUCGUAAACAGGAACGAGAAUCUCAACUAUGUGGCAACACCUCGUGUGUACAGUGCGAGUGCGUAUAAAAGUGGAUACGUCUCAUUAAACUGGUAAGUCAUAUACCAUCCUACGGUGAAGUGUUUUGAAUUGGUGUUUGGCUGUUCUGAUAAGGAAUUUCAAUCAGUCGAGCAUAAGAAAUCAAUCUCCAAGAAGAGAGUCGAGUCAACCGAGUUAUUAAUCAAGAACAAUGGCACGAAAAUGUGUCUUGUUGAUUUCCCUCAUCGUUCUGUUCUGCCUAUCGUGGUUCCAACCAGUAGAGGGCUGUUGCUUUCCUAGGAUAAGAUCGAGCUGUACUGCAGGAGGUUGCUGUGAUUUGCUUUGUGGUGAUCGGGAGACGAGAUGUAUAUGCACCAAAGAUAAAUCCCCCGAAUGUACCUGUGGUGGACGCUCCUAUCUAGACGCCAGUCUACGCCUUCCAUCCAUUGGAUCAGUGUACAUUCCUCAACUCUAUCCACAAAUUCAGUUACCAAGCUGUAGGCCAGGUGAUCUGCAAGCCUAUCAGCAAGCUUAUUAUCCACUUUCUUCUAGUGGUUAUCCAUACUGCUCUACACAAUUGUCUUCAGCACAGUGUACCUAUCCAGGGCUCGUGCCAAAAGCCUGUCCGCCGUGUAAACCCUGUCCAACCAUUGAGCUCGAGGAAGAGGAGCCAGCACCAGUGCGGGUAUCCAGGAGACGUUACUAUUCUCAACCUAUCAGCUACAGUUAUAGGAGACACAGGCCUAGAAGUCGCCUGGAUCGCGUCAGUGCAUACGACGAAUACGACGACACACCAAUGAACUUGAAAUGUUAUCUAGAGUGAAGCUAGCCCUUAAACUCUUCAGAACUUAAUAAUAAAAUUGUAAAUUAGUGUAUGCCAUGAAAAAGAGUAAUAAUGAGCCAUAGAAAGAAUGUACACUCACAAGCUGUUGGUUCUGUAAUCAUAUGCUGGUAUUUCACACUUGAUCCCAGCGAGGAUGUCCUGGAGUGUUUGGAGAAUCAGGUCAUUGUCAAAUGCAUCAGGAUGGUCAAAAUUGUAUUGGCCCUUCUCGGCUCGCAGUUUCUCAGCUGGUGUCAGAUCUCUGUAAAAACUGUCUUGAGAUAUGCACACCACCUGACGCUCCUGGUGAUCCAUGUCUACUUGACCCAAUUUUUCCAUAAUCCUCUUGCAAACGGUUGACUGGAAAUAUUCAUCAAGUGUCAGAUUACACAGGUAAACAACAAGAAAUGUUAUUGACUAGCGUUAAUGCCCAGUGUUGAUGCCCUCUUUCUGUUACAUUCGACAGUCCUUUUUUCAAUUAAUUAUUUAUCAUUUAGCUCAAUACAGAAAGCAAGAUAAACUACGAGAAUCAAUGUUCCAAUUUAUCAGCUAUUAAAUUUUUACAUCACAAUAAAUCAUUUACUCGUA